RNAcentral lists this long non-coding RNA (293 nucleotides) under Elaeis guineensis (African oil palm). Its description in RNAcentral is "long non-coding RNA (EGUI_LNC000335)". Lineage: Eukaryota; Viridiplantae; Streptophyta; Magnoliopsida; Arecales; Arecaceae. The record is from RNAcentral.
CAUUGAACUUUAUUUUGAAGAUCUAUUUUAGCCCAAUUGCAUCUUUUCCUAUUGGAAGAUCAACCAAAUCCCAAGUCUGAUUCUUUUCAAUACUUUCAAUCUCCUUAUUCAUGGCUUCUCUCCAAACUUCUUCUCUUUCAACUUCUUCAAAACUCUGUGGUUUUCCAGCAAAUAAAACAAAGUUACUAGAAGCAUAAAUAUCAGUCAAAGAACGAUACCUCCUAGGAGAAUCUGAGUCCAAAUCAUGAUUAGAAGAAGAUGCACCAACUUCUUGUUGUUCAUUCGGGGCUUCU